UGGCUCAGAACGAACGCUGGCGGCAUGGAUUAGGCAUGCAAGUUGAACGAACUCCUUCGGGAGUGAGUAGCGGAAGGGUGAGGAACGCGUGAGUAAUCUGCCCCCCAGUUGGGAAUAACAGUUGGAAACGACUGCUAAUACCGAAUGUGGCUUAAGCUUCGCCUGGAGCUUUGGCUAAAGAUUUAUCGCUGGGGGAUGAGCUCGCGUCCCAUUAGGUAGUUGGUGAGGUAACGGCUCACCAAGCCGACGAUGGGUAGCUGGUCUGAGAGGAUGGUCAGCCACACUGGGACUGAGACACUGCCCAGACUCCUACGGGAGGCUGCAGUCGAGAAUCUUGGGCAAUGCGCGAAAGCGUGACCCAGCAAUGCCGCGUGUAUGAUGAAGGCCCUCGGGUCGUAAAGUACUGUCUCCCGUUGACGAAAUUUGACGGUAGCGGGGAAGGAAGCCACGGCUAACUACGUGCCAGCCGCCGC
Molecule: ribosomal RNA, 473 nt
Filed under: uncultured bacterium
Lineage: Bacteria
Description: bacterial SSU rRNA
Rfam family: Bacterial small subunit ribosomal RNA
Source: RNAcentral